Molecule: ribosomal RNA, 563 nt
Filed under: Archasterope efficax
Lineage: Eukaryota; Metazoa; Arthropoda; Ostracoda; Myodocopida; Cylindroleberididae
Description: eukaryotic LSU rRNA
Rfam family: Eukaryotic large subunit ribosomal RNA
Source: RNAcentral
GACGGUGUGGCGCAAGAAGGGAUGUGGGACGUGAGCCUGCCUGGAGCCGCCGUUGGUGCAGAUCUUGGUGGUAGUAGCAAAUACUCGAGCGAUAUCCUGGAGAUCUGAUGUGGAGAAGGGUUCCAUGUGAACAGCCUUUGCACAUGGGUCAGUCUGUCCUAAGCUGCAGGAGAAAUCCGGGUUCUGGCGAAAUUAGCGCUCCCGAAAAACCAAUAAAUACAUUGAAUAAAUGGGUGUCGCUACCAAACCUAAGCGAGAGGGAAUCCGGUACUGAUUCCGGAACCUGGUCACGGAUAACCUUUCUUCGGAGAGGGUUGUUGGGGUCCUCGUGAUCUACACCGUAAGGUAGCUAAACUCGGGGAAGUCGGCCGCUGUCCCGGGCAGAGUUUUCUGUUCUGUAUAAGGGCCCGGAUCCCUGGAAUCGCCUCGUCGCGGAGAGAGGGAACUGGUUUUAUUUUAGCCCGAAGAGCCCCGCAGUUCUUGCGGGGUCCGAUUGGCAUGGCGGUCGAACCAAUGAAACACUCGAGGGAGGGUCGUACACACUUUCGUGCCAGUCCUGUACC